Molecule: non-coding RNA, 377 nt
Organism: Pelobates cultripes (western spadefoot toad)
Lineage: Eukaryota; Metazoa; Chordata; Amphibia; Anura; Pelobatidae
Source: the annotation of a GenBank genome assembly
GUCAAAUCCAAUACAGUAGAUAUAGUAGAAUAGCGGUAUUACACUCACAUUUAUUAGAGCUAUAGCCAGUGUCACGGCAAGGGUGCAUAAUUUAUUAUUGCACUAUGGAAUAUUGUCCUUUAAAGUAAUUUGUGUAGUGCAUUAAGGACCUGUCAGCCUGGCAGAGAUGGCAUUGUCCGUGUCAAAAGGGGUUAAUUUGAUUGGAUAGAGGUCAAAAGGUGUCACGUCUUUUGAACCUGGGACCCCCCCACAGAGGGCAGAUGGCAGAAGAGGUAAUGUAAAAUUGCAUAGGAAUGUGAAAAGGGAAAGACAUCCUGUGGUUAAUCAAAGGCCCUGCAAGGUGUGAGAUUCUACACUUGAAAGCCUGAAUGUAAAGC